This 433-nucleotide ribosomal RNA is filed under the name uncultured bacterium. RNAcentral's name for it is "partial 16S ribosomal RNA". It matches the Rfam family "Bacterial small subunit ribosomal RNA", at positions 29 to 507 of the family's 1533-position model. The record is from RNAcentral.
AACGAACGCUGGCGGCAUGCCUAACACAUGCAAGUCGAACGAGACCUUCGGGUCUAGUGGCGCACGGGUGCGUGACGCGUGGGAGCCUGCCCUUAGGUUCGGAAUAACUCACCGAAAGGGGUGCUAAUACCGGAUAAUGUCUUCGGACCAAAGAUUUAUCGCCUUUGGAUGGGCCCGCGUGGGUUUAGCUAGUUGGUAGGGUAAAAGCCUACCAAGGCGACGAUCCAUAGCUGGUCAGAGAGGAUGAUCAGCCACACUGGGACUGAGACACGGCCCAGACUCCUACGGGAGGCAGCAGUGGGGAAUAUUGGACAAUGGGCGAAAGCCUGAUCCAGCAAUGCCGCGUGAGUGAUGAAGGCCUUAGGGUUGUAAAGCUCUUUUACCCGGGAUGAUAAUGACAGUACCGGGAGAAUAAGCUCCGGCUAACUCCGUG